Drosophila willistoni is the source of this 1108-nucleotide RNA transcript. RefSeq lists it as uncharacterized. The record is from RefSeq and is a predicted model, not a curated record. The transcript is spliced from 4 exons. Lineage: Eukaryota; Metazoa; Arthropoda; Insecta; Diptera; Drosophilidae.
ACUGGGGCCAGAGAGAUUUCAAUUCAUAUCCAGUUUUCAUUCGUUGAGCACGUGUGUGUAAAUAAGAAAUUGUUUAGAACUUUUUAAAAGUAUUUCAAAGUAUUUCACAAGGUAAAUUGUUCAAGGAGUUUGCAAGGAUUUCAUCACCAUCACAAGAUUUUUAAAGGAUUUCUCACUAUCACAAGGUAAAUUGUUCAAGGAGUUUUGCAAGGAUUUCAUCACCAUCACAAGAUUUUCAAAGGAUUUUCAAAGGAUUUCUCACUAUCACAAGAAAGUGAAAGGCUUGUUCGAGGAUUUCGCAAGAAGUUUCACCAUUUGAAAGAAGAUAAGACUUGUACGAGGAUAUCGCAAGAAGUUUCACCAUUUGAAAGAAGAUAAGACUUGUUCGAGGAUUUCGCAAGGAUUUCAUCAACUUUACAAGUUUGGGAAUUUCACAAGGAUUUGAUCUAUAUUACAACCAAUUUUUCAGAAAAUCGCUUUUAGGAUUUCUACAAGGAUAUACAAAAUGCCGUACGAGCUGAUGAAUUUUCACUCGAUUUGCUCGAAACUUGGUUUUGCAAUCCAGCAAUUCUGUUAUCCCAACGGGUGCAAUGUUGGCCAUCGAGGAUACAAGUCGAAGUACAACGCUGCCUUUUCACCAUGGUUCGAGGAACUUUGGGGACCAAUGCGUUCCAAGGACACUCGUGUGCCAUUUCGUCUAACGACAAAUCGUGGUUCGUUUACCAACAUGAUGAUAGCCAGAGCCCAUAUGUUGUAUCGACUUUUUCGAUUUACGUCGCGGAGGACUCUAGUGGGUCGAAAAAUAUCUUAUAAUUUUUCGAGAUUGAUUAAUCGCAAGCGCGAGGAGAAACACAAGGGCAUCCCGGGCAUCCCGGCCUGCUAGUCCCUUCGAAACGCGAAGGAUGGGCAACCACUUAUAGUCUCCCGUUGGUUGCUCUAAUUUGGAGAGAAUAAGGAGACCAUUUAAAGACCAAAAAGGCCUUUAAGAAUGAUACAAAAUUUUCGUAUGGUAUAAGUUUCUACAUUUCAAUCGAUUGUAAACUAAAUUUUUAGUGUUAAUAUUUAUCUUUGAUUUGGAUAAGAAAUAAUAUCAUUCUAUUAAAAAUAA